This 2555-nucleotide long non-coding RNA is filed under the name Nicotiana tabacum (common tobacco). RNAcentral describes it as "long non-coding RNA (NTAB_LNC005182)". The record is from RNAcentral. Lineage: Eukaryota; Viridiplantae; Streptophyta; Magnoliopsida; Solanales; Solanaceae.
CUUACCUUAAUUAACACUAACCUACCCCAAACCUUUUUCAUUCUCUAAAAAACCCACCGUCAUCGUCUCCCCUCAUCUCCCAACUCUCUCUCAAUCUAACCCUAACCCUAGUCGCCGUCACCGGCAUAAACCUCCCUCCUAUGAUGCUUCUAUGUCUUCUCCGACCACUCCUGGCCUUUUACGCUCCAUGGCUCUUCGACUUCAUGAGUCCUUGAGAAGAUCUCAAGGAACUCCAACUGGUUCUGGUUUGAAACUUUGUUUACCGGAGGUCUCGGGCCAUUUUUCAUUCGUAAGUAAGGAUCUCUCCUUGUUUUAUUACGAAUUUAUGGGUUCUUGACCUAUUCUAUUCACCUCUGCUAUUUUUGUGAAAACCUAGUUUGAUAUUGUCGGUUCUUCUCAGAUCUUUAUAGAUCUGAGGUGAUUCGAAUGUUAUUAAGUGUUUUCCUUAAAACAUCUCUUGUUUUAAUUGAUUAUUUUGAUUUUUAAUCACUCUUUCUAAACUAGGGUUCAUCUCAAACUUUUCUUCAACGAUUUUUCUAAGUUCUCAGUGUUUAGUUAAUUGUUUCUUCAUCAUCUUAACUUAUUUUCACAUGAAUGUUCAAACCCUAGUUGAUUUUGUGUGAUAUACUGGUUUCUUCGCUUUUGUUUCGAUACUUUGUUAUUUCUGUGAUACAGGUUAUAUAAAUUUACUCCGUUCUGGGAUUAAAUGUUUUCCUUGUUAAAUCCAAUAUUUCUUUGAACCUGUUUUCUUACUGAAUUCUGUAUUUCUGUGAAGCUUUACUUAUUUAAUUUCUAUUUAUGGAAUAUGAGUAAUUCUUUCCCAAAAAUCAGUAUUCUUUUGAAGGUUUUACUGACUAUUUCCUAUUAUUUUGCCCUGUUAAAAUCUGUAUGCACAGAUCUUAUUUAUUCCCUUAUUUGUGACUUUAAUUGAUCACACUUGCCUUAAUAAGUUAUCCGUAUGGUUUUGGGAUUCUUACUGAUUCCCUAUUUGGUAUGAUUUGGAUUCCUUACCCUAAUUAACCCCUUUUUGCUGUGACCGUUAAGUGAUUACCCCCAAUUAAGGGGUCCAUUCCGGACUCCCUUACAUGAAUUGAUUCUAUGAUUAUUUGAUUUCCCCCUAAUUGACUGAUUUCUGAUUCUCUUUACCUUAUUUGCUCUACUUCCUAAGUGCUAUAUAAACUCUCAUUCUGACUUCUUUAAACAUAGACAGUAGUUCAAAAAUACACAUACACACUCAAACUUUCUCUCAUCUCUCUUUCUGCUACUUGUGCUCAUUGCUCGUGUAGCCAGCUGAAAUCCAAGGCUAGAUUGUGGAACUUUACCUGCUUUACUUUCUGCACUUUGCUUCCUUGACUGCUAUGUUCUUAUUUUAAUAUCAUUCCGAAACUCAAAUCUAGUGCUCUAUAGUUGUUAAAUCCAUGCCUAUUUUCUCACUAAUUUAACUGAUUAUGUACUUAGUUGUUCUUCCUGUUUACUGCUUUGAUCAGUAUGCUUAAGUUUUACCCCCUCUUUUUCAGUGUUUUAAUCAGCAUGUCUAGGUUUCAAUAUUCUUGUUUGCUAUUUUAUCCAGCAUGUUUGCUUGAGCUCUUGUCUGUUUCCUUCAACUAGCAUGCUCAUUUUAAGUAGUUCAGGCUCUUAAUUUAUCUGAUUAACCACAAUUGGUAUGACUAAUUCUGUGUGGUAGACCCUUCUCCUCAAUAUGAAAAUUUCUGCAUUCUGUCUCUAUGCUAUAAUGUCUAUUAACUUUAGCUUUAAGUAUAAUUUCCUUGUUAAUAUUUUGAAUCAGUAGUUUGUAAUCUAAUUCUAUGAAUUUGGUCACUGGUUCCCUGUUUGUUCUGCGUACUUAUUGAUCAAUAUGCUUCCCCUCUUAUCCAUGUUCAUGUGUUUCUGAUUUAAGAUCCCUAUGUUCCCAACCCCCCUAAUCCCUGUUUGUAAACUUGUUUGUCUUCACUUAGAAUCAAGUAAUAAAUGGCUUUGAAUCUGGGCAUCUAAGUUUUGUGAUUAUGUGGUUGUUUGUUCAAUCUUUGUUCUUCUCAAAAUUGCAUCCAAAACUGUUUUCACUUUUAACAUUUUCUUAAAACUGUUUCCAUUCCUGAUAUAUCUUUUCCCUCCUAAAAUUUUUACCUCUAUACUGUUUUUACUAAGUUCUUCCAACUAUGUCAAAGAUUCUCACUUCUACUCUUAGAUUAUCUAAGUUCUGCCUCUCCAGUGUGUGUACUGCCUAGGUAUACAUGAGAUUCUUCCAAACUCUGGCACACUAAGGCUGGCCCUUCCAGACCGCACAUAACUACUUCUCUAUAUAUAAGGACCUUGGUGUGAGCAUUUCCCGGGGUUCAUGAGGCCCUUGGGAACUUUGACGCACCAGGAUACCACAUUGGAUAUGAUGGACUAUGACAUCUUGGACUGUUUUGAAGGCCUGGUACUUCCAGGUUCCCUUUGGGCCUAUUUCAGGCUCCAUAUAGCAUAACUUAUAUUUAUUAUGUAAUUUAUUUAUUUAUGGUCUGUAAUGAUAAUCAUUGAAAACAGUUAUUGGGAAAAUUAGUAAAAGGGAGGGA